AACGAACGCUGGCGGUAUGCCUAACACAUGCAAGUCGAACGGGACCUCCGGGACUAGUUGCUCACACGUGCGUAACGCGUCGGAACGUGCAUGUAUGCACGGAAUAACACCCCUUCAGGGGUGCUAAUGCCGGAUAAUGUACUCGAAUACAACAUAUAUCGUCUUAGGAUGGGCAGGCGUUGUUUUAACUUGUUGGUAGGGUAAAAGCCUACCAAGGCGACGAUCCAUAGCGGGUCUGAGAGAAUGAGCAGCCACACUGGGACUGGGACGCGGCGCAGACUCCUACGGGAGGGAGCAGUGGGUAAUAUUGGACUAUGGGCUAGAUCCUGAUCGAGCUAUGCCGCGUGAGUGAUGAAGGUCUGAGGGUAGUAAAGCUCUUUUACCCGGGAUGAUAAUGACAGUACCGGGAGAAUAAGCUCCGGCUAACUCCGUG
Molecule: ribosomal RNA, 433 nt
Filed under: uncultured bacterium
Lineage: Bacteria
Description: partial 16S ribosomal RNA
Rfam family: Bacterial small subunit ribosomal RNA
Source: RNAcentral